Molecule: ribosomal RNA, 460 nt
Filed under: uncultured bacterium
Lineage: Bacteria
Description: partial 16S ribosomal RNA
Rfam family: Bacterial small subunit ribosomal RNA
Source: RNAcentral
CCUACGGGAGGCAGCAGUGAGGAAUAUUGGUCAAUGGACGAGAGUCUGAACCAGCCAAGUAGCGUGAAGGAUGACUACCCUAUGGGUUGUAAACUUCUUUUAUAAAGGAAUAAAACGAGGCACGUGUGCCUUUUUUCAUGUACUUUAUGAAUAAGGAUCGGCUAACUCCGUGCCAGCAGCCGCGGUAAUACGGAGGAUCCGAGCGUUAUCCGGAUUUAUUGGGUUUAAAGGGAGCGUAGAUGGGUUGUUAAGUCAGUUGUGAAAGUUUGCGGCUCAACCGUAAAAUUGCAAUUGAUACUGGCAGUCUUGAGUACAGUUGAGGUAGGCGGAAUUCGUGGUGUAGCGGUGAAAUGCUUAGAUAUCACGAAGAACCCCGAUUGCGAAGGCAGCUUACUAAACUGUGACUGACAUUGAUGCUCGAAAGUGUGGGUAUCAAACAGGAUUAGAUACCCGAGUAGUC